UAAAGAGCCAAAAUUUCAGUCUGCCUUUUUUUUUCUGCCCGCUCCUCUCCCAUCCGCUUCCCCGUGUUGUCUGUCCGCCACACCCGAAAUCGAAUAGAUCACGACUCGGGAAGGGUCGCCCGUGCUCAGAACCGAUCGGUACCUACGCGACCCCGGCGAGAAUCAAUCUCACUUCUAGAACGGGCGUUGACGCCGUAGCAGCAG
Molecule: long non-coding RNA, 204 nt
Filed under: Sorghum bicolor (sorghum)
Lineage: Eukaryota; Viridiplantae; Streptophyta; Magnoliopsida; Poales; Poaceae
Description: long non-coding RNA (SBIC_LNC006960)
Source: RNAcentral